RNAcentral lists this ribosomal RNA (440 nucleotides) under uncultured bacterium. RNAcentral's name for it is "partial 16S ribosomal RNA". It matches the Rfam family "Bacterial small subunit ribosomal RNA", at positions 338 to 795 of the family's 1533-position model. The record is from RNAcentral.
CCUACGGGAGGCAGCAGUAGGGAAUAUUGCUCAAUGGGGGAAACCCUGAAGCAGCAACGCCGCGUGGAGGAUGAAGGUCUUCGGAUUGUAAACCCCUUUUGUUAGAGAAGAUAAUGACGGUACCUAACGAUUAACCACUGGCUAAUUCCGUGACAGCAGCCGCGGUAAUACGGAGGGUGCAAGCGUUACUCGGAAUCACUGGGCGUAAAGAGCGCGUAGGCGGGUUAGCAAGUCAGAUGUGAAAUCCUAUGGCUUAACCAUAGAACUGCAUUUGAAACUGUGAAUCUAGAGUGUAGGAGAGGUAAGUGGAAUUCUUGGUGUAGGGGUGAAAUGCGUAGAGAUCAAGAGGAACACUAGUGGCGAAGGCGACCUGCUGGAACAUAACUGACGCUGAUGCGCGAAAGCGUGGGGAGCAAACAGGAUUAGAUACCCCUGUAGUC